UGCAAGUCGAACGAUGAAGCCCAGCUUGCUGGGUGGAUUAGUGGCGAACGGGUGAGUAACACGUGAGUAACCUGCCCCUGACUCUGGGAUAAGCCCGGGAAACUGGGUCUAAUACCGGAUAUGACUUUUGACCGCAUGGUUGAGGGUGGAAAGAUUUAUCGGUUGGGGAUGGACUCGCGGCCUAUCAGCUUGUUGGUGAGGUAAUGGCUCACCAAGGCGACGACGGGUAGCCGGCCUGAGAGGGUGACCGGCCACACUGGGACUGAGACACGGCCCAGACUCCUACGGGAGGCAGCAGUGGGGAAUAUUGCACAAUGGGCGCAAGCCUGAUGCAGCGACGCCGCGUGAGGGAUGACGGCCUUCGGGUUGUAAACCUCUUUCAGUAGGGAAGAAGCGAAAGUGACGGUACCUGCAGAAGAAGCGCCGGCUAACUACGUGCCAGCAGCCGCGGUAAUACGUAGGGCGCAAGCGUUAUCCGGAUUUAUUGGGCGUAAAGAGCUCGUAGGCGGUUUGUCGCGUCUAUCGUGAAAGUCCGAGGCUCAACCUCGGAUCUGCGGUGGGUACGGGCAGACUAGAGUGAUGUAGGGGAGACUGGAAUUCCUGGUGUAGCGGUGAAAUGCGCAGAUAUCAGGAGGAACACCGAUGGCGAAGGCAGGUCUCUGGGCAUUUACUGACGCUGAGGAGCGAAAGCAUGGGGAGCGAACAGGAUUAGAUACCCUGGUAGUCCAUGCCGUAAACGUUGGGCACUAGGUGUGGGGGACAUUCCACGUUUUCCGCGCCGUAGCUAACGC
RNAcentral lists this ribosomal RNA (791 nucleotides) under Glutamicibacter sp. RNAcentral's name for it is "bacterial SSU rRNA". It matches the Rfam family "Bacterial small subunit ribosomal RNA", at positions 56 to 858 of the family's 1533-position model. Lineage: Bacteria; Bacillati; Actinomycetota; Actinomycetes; Micrococcales; Micrococcaceae. The record is from RNAcentral.